GGAAAGCACAAGGAGCAAGGCAGGCUGGGAAAGCACAAGGAGCAAGGCAGGCUGGGAAAUGCUAUCCACGCCCGGCCAUGUUCUCUUCAGAAGUAGGCUACAGUGCUAUCCCUGCAAGGCGGUAGCAUAUCGAUGUGUAUGUGGGGAGGUUAGCAUAUGCCUGGUGUACAGCAACAAAUGCACCGGAAGGCAGAGCAAGAUUCUUGCAGGGAGAGACUUGUAAGGCUCUAUCAGGAAUGAAGGCAGGUGCUGUGUGCCCUAAAGUCACUUUCACUGCUUCACAACUCCUCUGUGCUCUGGCUUCGGGUGUAGAAAUACCUACAUGAGUAUUAGUAUGUGUCAUGUGUGUCUAUGGGUUCUGUCCUAUGUAUGUGUAGUCGUAUAUUGUGGUGUGUGUAUGUGUGGUCCCAGGUGUGGGGGUGGGUAGUACGUACGUGAUCACGUGUAUGUGUGUGGUAUUGGUGUGUAUGUGUUGCUGUAUGAGUAAUCUAUGUGUAGAGUCAUAUGUGCCUAGUCACUGCUGUGAGUAGCGAUGUGUUUCCACGGCCGUGCGUGUGUGACCAUAUGUAUGCAUGUGGUUACCUGAGUGCUUGUGUAUGGUGGUCACGUGUAUUUGCGUGGUCUCACGUUCGUGCUUCUGUGUGUAUAGUUGUGUGUCAUGGUCAUAUGCAUGCGUAGUCAUAUGCAUGUCUCUGGGUAGUCAUAUGUGUGUGAUCCUAUAGAUCAGUAUGUCUGGUGGUCAUGUGGAUGAGUGGUCAGGCUUUUUUGAGGACAUAUGUGUGUACAAUCAUAUGUGGUUUUGUGUGGUCAUACAUGUGAAGUACUAUGUGCAUAUAUAUUUGAUUGUAUAUGCUUGAGGGGGGGUGCAAGGACUGUAUGGAUGCUCCACAGGUUUGAAGAAUGGUUCAACCUGGGAUUUGAGCAUCAUUUUAGGAGGACAGAAAGAUGACAUGUAUUUAGUAGUAACUAACCCUCACAGUUUGAAUUUUGAUCCUUCCCCACACAGACAUAGGCAUACGGAUACUUUGUCUCCCACAGCUGUGAGCCACAGCUGUGAGUCACAGCUGUCCUAGGGAGCCCCAAGUCACUGACUGCAUGUGCUGCUGCUGUGGACGGUUAUGCCGAGGGGAAAAAAAGUGUGAGAGCAGCUUCUGUGUUAAGGCAGCUCCUUCCUGUGUGGCCGGCCAUCUCACCGAGAACGCAGCUGACACUAUUCAGACUCGAGUAUGCAGUAGACAUUUUCUUUAGAGACAAUAAAGGGAGUAUGUCUCCUCCAGAGGAAAAGGACAGCAUUGGUGGCCAGUGCUUAAAACAUUUGCUCUCUCAGGUGAACAUUAGAAUUUUGGAGAAUCUGUAUCCACCAACCAUGAAUAUGAUGGUUUCCCAAGAACUGAGUGUUCAUCACAGACGAUGCAUGCAGGGGUAAUGGAUGGGAACUGUAGCCCUCAGAGAAUGAAAUUCGCCCACAGUUUGAAGCUCUGCAGGACUCUGAAGCAAUGUUUUGAAGUGACCAGUGGAUGACCUUACAGAGUUAUGCACCGGGAGAAAAGAAAAGUCCAUGAAAGAAAGGUUGAUGGGUUUUACGUAACAGCAAUGGGAACAAUUCAAGCAUGAGAUUAUAACCUAGAAUAUGAAACUAUUAGUUUCAAUUUUAUGCUGUGAAACAAAGAAUAUACAAAAACUAUCUGGAACAGGCUGUUAAAAUAUUCUUUCUCCAUCCCAACCCUCGAGGCAAAUGCCGUAGGGGGAUUGGGAGUUCAAGAUCUUUACUGGCUACAGAGUACAUGAGACACUGUCUCAAAGAAGUAUGGAUCCUUCCCUUCCUAUCACUUCUGGUUCACUCUCUCUGAUUCAUGUUUAAAGGUGUGUCCUCUCAGUUUCCAGUCCCCACCACCGGCCACCAUGCCAGCGGCUUGCUUUCCAGUCACAAUGGACUCUUAUUCCUCUGGAACCGUAAGCCCAAAUAAACUCUUGCCUCAAGGGGGCAGGGAG
Molecule: non-coding RNA, 1992 nt
Organism: Rattus norvegicus (Norway rat)
Lineage: Eukaryota; Metazoa; Chordata; Mammalia; Rodentia; Muridae
Source: RefSeq, a predicted model, not a curated record